GAGCAAAACAGCUAUGGGUCAAGUAGGAGCACUAGAGAAGUCUUAUUGUGAGGGCGAGUUAUAUAAAAAAGAACUGGCCGUCCCAUAUGAAAAGAUUAUAUUAGAAUUGAAUGAAGCUUUGUUUAUAUAUUGAUAAUGACAGUCCAUAUAGGGGUGUCUUGACUAAUUGCGUGCCAGCAGUCGCGGUAAUACGUAAGAGACUAGUGUUAUUCAUCUUAAUUAGGUUUAAAGGGUACCCAGACGGUCAAUAUAGCUUAUAAAAUGUUAGUACUUGACUAGAGUUUUAUGUAAGAGGGCAGUACUUGAGGAGGAGAGAUGAAAUUUCGUGAUACCAAAGGGACUCUGUAAAGGCGAAGGCAGCCCUCUAUGUAAAAACUGACGUUGAAGGACGAAGGCACAGAGAACAAACAGGAUUAGAUACCCAAGUAGUCUUUGCAGUAAAUGAUGAAUGCCAUAGGUUAGAUUGGUCAAUUAUAGUCUAGGGUUAGUCUAGCAAACUAAUGCCCUGUGCUAUAAUUCAAAAUAUCUGGUCUAUAAAUGAAAGUGUAAGCAUUUCACCUCAAGAGUAAUGUGGCAACGCAGGAACUGAAAUCACUAGACCGUUUCUGACACCAGUAGUGAAGUAUGUUAUUU
This 633-nucleotide ribosomal RNA is filed under the name Fusarium oxysporum f. sp. ciceris. RNAcentral's name for it is "SSU rRNA". It matches the Rfam family "Bacterial small subunit ribosomal RNA", at positions 1 to 947 of the family's 1533-position model. Lineage: Eukaryota; Fungi; Ascomycota; Sordariomycetes; Hypocreales; Nectriaceae. The record is from RNAcentral.